Molecule: ribosomal RNA, 1455 nt
Filed under: uncultured Bordetella sp.
Lineage: Bacteria; Pseudomonadati; Pseudomonadota; Betaproteobacteria; Burkholderiales; Alcaligenaceae
Description: partial 16S-23S ribosomal RNA intergenic spacer
Rfam family: Bacterial small subunit ribosomal RNA
Source: RNAcentral
GGUUCGAUUAUGGCUCAGAUUGAACGCUGGUGAUGUUUUUACACAUGCAAGUCGAACGGCAGCACGGACUUUCGGUCUGAAAAAGGAGUGGCGAACGGGUGAGUAAUGUAUCGGAACGUGCCUAGUAGCGGGGAUAACUACGCGAAAGCGUAGCUAAUACCGCAUGUACGCCCUUCGGGGGAAAGCGGGGACCUUCGGGCCUCGCACUAUUAGAGCGGCCGAUAUCGGAUUAGCUAGCGGUGUAACGGCUCACCAAGGCGACGAUCCGUAGCUGGUUUGAGGAGGACGACUGCAGCCACUGGGACUGAGACACGGCCCAGACUCCUACGGGAGGCAGCAGUGGGAAUUUUGGACAAUGGGGAAACCCUUUCUUGAUCCAGCCAUCCAAGCGUGCGAUGAAGGCCUUCGGGUUGUAAAGCACUUUUGGCAGGAAAGAAACGGCACGGGAUAAUACCCCGUGCAAUCGACGGUACCUGCAGAAUAAGCACCGCUAACUACGCCAGCAGCCGCGGUAAUACGUAGGUGCAAGUAAGCGUUAAUCGGAAUUACUGGGCGUAAAGCGUGCGCAGGCGGUUCGGAAGAAAGAUGUGAAAUCCCAGAGCUUAACUUUGGAACUGCAUUUUUAACUACCGAGCUAGAGUGUGUCAGAGGAGGUGGAAUUCCGCGUGUGGCAGUGAAUGUGAUAUGCGGAGGAACACUGAUGGCGAAGGCAGCCUCCUGAUAACACUGACGCUCAUGCACGAAAGCGUGGGGAGCAACAGGGAUUAGAUACCCUGGUAGUCCACGCCUCAAACGAUGUCAACUAGCUGUUGGGGCCUUCGGGCCUUGGUAGCGCAGCUAACGCGUGAAGUUGAACGCCUGGGAGUACGGUCGCAAGAUUAAAAUCAAAGAAUUUGACGGGGAUUCUGCACAAGCGUGGAUGAUGACACUUGAUGCAACGCGAAAAAACCUUACCUACCCUUGACAUGUCUGGAAUCCCGAAGAGAUUUGGGAGUGCUCGCAAGAGAACCGAACAUAGGUGCUGCAUGGCUGUCAUUAGUCGUGUCGUGAUGUUGGGUUAUCCUGCAAUCGAUGUGGCAACCUCAUCGCUUAUUAGCAUGAAAGGGCACUCUUAAUGAGACUGCCGGUGACAAACCGAGAAGGGGAUGACGUCAAGUCCUCAUGGCCUCUUAUGGGGGUCAGCCACGUCAUACAAUGGUCGGGAUGAGGGUCGCCAACCCGCAGGGGAGCCAUCCCAAGAACCCGAUCGUAGUCCGGAUCGCAGUCUGCAACUCGACUGCGUGAAGUCGGAAUCGCUAGUAAUCGCGGAUCAGCAUGUCGCGGUGAAUACGUUCCCGGGCGAAGACACCGCCCGUCACACCAUGGAGUGGGUUUUACCAGAAGGGUUAGCCUAACCGUAAGGAGGGCGAUUACCACGGUAGGAUUCAUGACUGGGGUGAAGUCGUAACAAGGUAG